RNAcentral lists this ribosomal RNA (253 nucleotides) under uncultured bacterium. RNAcentral's name for it is "partial 16S ribosomal RNA". It matches the Rfam family "Bacterial small subunit ribosomal RNA", at positions 524 to 776 of the family's 1533-position model. The record is from RNAcentral.
CACGUAGGGCGCAAGCGUUGUCCGGAAUUAUUGGGCGUAAAGAGCUUGUAGGCGGUUUGCCGCGUCUGCUGUGAAAUUUCGGGGCUCAACCCCGAACUUGCAGUGGGUACGGGCAGACUAGAGUGUGGUAGGGGAGACUGGAAUUCCUGGUGUAGCGGUGAAAUGCGCAGAUAUCAGGAGGAACACCGAUGGCGAAGGCAGGUCUCUGGGCCAUAACUGACGCUGAGAAGCGAAAGCAUGGGGAGCGAACAGG